CCACCCUUGCCUAGUUGCCCUCGCCGACUUGUGCCUCCGCCAGCUGUGCAAACCGAGAUAGAAUGGAUUCCCCCGAUACUGUCAUCCGGCGCAUGCUACCGCACCUCCGCGAGCCGCUAUGCUUACUUCUAGGCUCCCCCAUGGUCUGGCACCCAAUGCGGCCGCCCCUAGCGCGGUGACGACGUGUAGGAGCUUCACGUUUGAGCGG
This 208-nucleotide long non-coding RNA is filed under the name Setaria italica (foxtail millet). RNAcentral describes it as "long non-coding RNA (SITA_LNC000404)". Lineage: Eukaryota; Viridiplantae; Streptophyta; Magnoliopsida; Poales; Poaceae. The record is from RNAcentral.